This 253-nucleotide ribosomal RNA is filed under the name uncultured bacterium. RNAcentral's name for it is "partial 16S ribosomal RNA". It matches the Rfam family "Bacterial small subunit ribosomal RNA", at positions 524 to 776 of the family's 1533-position model. The record is from RNAcentral.
UACGUAGGGGGCUAGCGUUGUCCGGAUUUAUUGGGCGUAAAGCGCGUGUAGGCGGUCCGGUAAGUCCGCUGUGAAAGUCGAGGGCUCAACCCUCGAAUGCCGGUGGAUACUGUCGGGCUAGAGUGCGGAAGAGGCGAGUGGAAUUCCUGGUGUAGCGGUGAAAUGCGCAGAUAUCAGGAGGAACACCUAUUGCGAAGGCAGCUCGCUGGGACGUUACUGACGCUGAGACGCGAAAGCGUGGGGAGCAAACAGG